CAGUAGCCGCGGGAAUACAGAGGGUGCGAGCGUUAAUCGGAUUUACUGGGCGUAAAGCGUGCGUAGGCGGCUUUUUAAGUCGGAUGUGAAAUCCCUGAGCUUAACUUAGGAAUUGCAUUCGAUACUGGGAAGCUAGAGUAUGGGAGAGGAUGGUAGAAUUCCAGGUGUAGCGGUGAAAUGCGUAGAGAUCUGGAGGAAUACCGAUGGCGAAGGCAGCCAUCUGGCCUAAUACUGACGCUGAGGUACGAAAGCAUGGGGAGCAAACAGGAUUAGAUACCCCAGUUAGUCCCUGUCUCUUAUA
RNAcentral lists this ribosomal RNA (301 nucleotides) under uncultured bacterium. RNAcentral describes it as "partial 16S ribosomal RNA". It matches the Rfam family "Bacterial small subunit ribosomal RNA", at positions 509 to 808 of the family's 1533-position model. The record is from RNAcentral.